RNAcentral lists this ribosomal RNA (474 nucleotides) under uncultured bacterium. Its description in RNAcentral is "bacterial SSU rRNA". It matches the Rfam family "Bacterial small subunit ribosomal RNA", at positions 29 to 521 of the family's 1533-position model. The record is from RNAcentral.
AUUGAACGCUGGCGGCAUGCCUUACACAUGCAAGUCGAACGGCAGCACGGGGGCAACCCUGGUGGCGAGUGGCGAACGGGUGAGUAAUACAUCGGAACGUAUCCUAUGGUGGGGGAUAACUAGUCGAAAGAUUAGCUAAUACCGCAUAAGCUCGAAAGAGGAAAGCAGGGGACCCGCAAGGGCCUUGCGCGAUUGGAGCGGCCGAUGUCCGAUUAGCUUGUUGGCGGGGUAAAAGCCCACCAAGGCGACGAUCUGUAGCUGGUCUGAGAGGACGACCAGCCACACUGGGACUGAGACACGGCCCAGACUCCUACGGGAGGCAGCAGUGGGGAAUAUUGGACAAUGGGCGCAAGCCUGAUCCAGCAAUGCCGCGUGAGUGAGGAAGGCCUUAGGGUUGUAAAGCUCUUUCACCCGCGACGAUGAUGACGGUAGCGGGAGAAGAAGCCCGGCUAACUUCGUGCCAGCAGCCGCGGU